RNAcentral lists this transfer RNA (67 nucleotides) under Marmota monax (woodchuck). RNAcentral's name for it is "tRNA.Ala". The record is from RNAcentral. Lineage: Eukaryota; Metazoa; Chordata; Mammalia; Rodentia; Sciuridae.
GGUUGUAGCUCAGUGGUACAGUGCUUGCCUUGCAUGUGUGAAGUACUAGGUUCAAUUCUCAGCACCA